GUACUUUCAGCAGUGAGGAAGGUGGGUAUGUUAAUAGCAUACUCAUUUGACGUUAGCUGCAGAAGUAAGCACCGGCUAACUCCGUGCCAGCAGCCGCGGUAAUACGGAGGGUGCGAGCGUUAAUCGGAAUUACUGGGGCGUAAAAGCGCAUGCAGGUGGUUUGUUAAGUCAGAUGUGAAAGCCCGGGGCUCAACCUCGGAAUUGCAUUUGAAAACUGGCAAACUAGAGUACUGUAGAGGGGGUAGGAAUUUCAGGUGUAGCGGUGAAAUGCGUAGAGAUCUGAAGGAAUACCGGUGGCGAAGGCGGCCCCCUGGACAGAUACUGACACUCAGAUGCCGAAAGCGUGGGGAGCAAACAGGAUUAGAUACCCUGGUAG
This 376-nucleotide ribosomal RNA is filed under the name uncultured bacterium. RNAcentral describes it as "bacterial SSU rRNA". It matches the Rfam family "Bacterial small subunit ribosomal RNA", at positions 430 to 793 of the family's 1533-position model. The record is from RNAcentral.